This 335-nucleotide ribosomal RNA is filed under the name uncultured Fusibacter sp. RNAcentral describes it as "bacterial SSU rRNA". It matches the Rfam family "Bacterial small subunit ribosomal RNA", at positions 1048 to 1382 of the family's 1533-position model. The record is from RNAcentral. Lineage: Bacteria; Bacillati; Bacillota; Clostridia; Eubacteriales; Fusibacteraceae.
CGUGUCGUCAGCUCGUGUCGUGAGAUGUUGGGUUAAGUCCCGCAACGAGCGCAACCCUUGUGUUUAGUUGCAAACAGGUCAAGCUGUGCACUCUAGACAGACUGCCGUGGACAACACGGAGGAAGGUGGGGAUGACGUCAAAUCAUCAUGCCCCUUAUGAUCUGGGCUACACACGUGCUACAAUGGCCGGUACAACGGGCAGCGAAGGAGCGAUCCGGAGCGAAUCCUAAAAAGCCGGUCCCAGUUCGGAUUGCAGGCUGAAACUCGCCUACAUGAAGUUGGAGUUGCUAGUAAUCGCGAAUCAGAAUGUCGCGGUGAAUGCGUUCCCGGGUCUU